Small nucleolar RNA from Grammomys surdaster, 131 nucleotides. RefSeq annotates it as small nucleolar RNA SNORA17. The record is from RefSeq and is a predicted model, not a curated record. The transcript has a single exon. Lineage: Eukaryota; Metazoa; Chordata; Mammalia; Rodentia; Muridae.
ACUGCCUCUAGAGGCAUUGCAGGUGUGGCUGCUAUGUCACUGUGCGUCAGCAGGUGGCAGAGAGGAGAGAGGGUAUGUCUACACUUAGUGUUCUGACCUGCCAACAUCUGAAUGAUUAUCAGCCUAACACU